This 636-nucleotide ribosomal RNA is filed under the name uncultured Marinobacter sp. RNAcentral's name for it is "bacterial SSU rRNA". It matches the Rfam family "Bacterial small subunit ribosomal RNA", at positions 870 to 1504 of the family's 1533-position model. The record is from RNAcentral. Lineage: Bacteria; Pseudomonadati; Pseudomonadota; Gammaproteobacteria; Pseudomonadales; Marinobacteraceae.
CGCCUGGGGAGUACGGCCGCAAGGUUAAAACUCAAAUGAAUUGACGGGGGCCCGCACAAGCGGUGGAGCAUGUGGUUUAAUUCGACGCAACGCGAAGAACCUUACCUGGCCUUGACAUCCAGAGAACUUUCCAGAGAUGGAUUGGUGCCUUCGGGAACUCUGAGACAGGUGCUGCAUGGCCGUCGUCAGCUCGUGUCGUGAGAUGUUGGGUUAAGUCCCGUAACGAGCGCAACCCCUAUCCCUGGUUGCUAGCAGGUAAUGCUGAGAACUCCAGGGAGACUGCCGGUGACAAACCGGAGGAAGGUGGGGAUGACGUCAGGUCAUCAUGGCCCUUACGGCCAGGGCUACACACGUGCUACAAUGGCGCGUACAGAGGGCUGCCAACUCGCGAGAGUGAGCCAAUCCCUUAAAACGCGUCGUAGUCCGGAUCGGAGUCUGCAACUCGACUCCGUGAAGUCGGAAUCGCUAGUAAUCGCGAAUCAGAAUGUCGCGGUGAAUACGUUCCCGGGCCUUGUACACACCGCCCGUCACACCAUGGGAGUGGAUUGCACCAGAAGUAGUUAGUCUAACCUUCGGGAGGACGAUUACCACGGUGUGGUUCAUGACUGGGGGUGAAGUCGUAACAAGGUAACCGUA